GAUGAACGCUGGCGGCGUGCUUAACACAUGCAAGUCGAACGAUGAAGCCCAGCUUGCUGGGUGGAUUAGUGGCGAACGGGUGAGUAACACGUGAGUAACCUGCCCUUAACUCUGGGAUAAGCCUGGGAAACUGGGUCUAAUACCGGAUAGGAGCGCCUACCGCAGGGUGGGUGUUGGGAAGAUUUAUCGGUUUUGGAUGGACUCGCGGCCUAUCAGCUUUUUGGUGGGGUAAUGGCUCACCAAGGCGACGACGGGUAGCCGGCCUGGGAGGGUGACCGGCCACACUGGGACUGAGACACGGCCCAGACUCCUACGGGAGGCAGCAGUGGGGAAUAUUGCACAAUGGGCGAAAGCCUGAUGCAGCGACGCCGCGUGAGGGAUGACGGCCUUCGGGUUGUAAACCUCUUUCAGUAGGGAAGAAGCGAAAGUGACGGUACCUGCAGAAGAAGCACCGGCUAACUACGUG
Molecule: ribosomal RNA, 466 nt
Filed under: uncultured bacterium
Lineage: Bacteria
Description: partial 16S ribosomal RNA
Rfam family: Bacterial small subunit ribosomal RNA
Source: RNAcentral